GUCUGUGAUGAUGAGCUUCAUAUCUAAUCACAAGUAAUAUGGUUAUGCUUGUGCAAAUGCAGAUUUUUCAUGAGCUAGGACGGUCUGAGAC
Molecule: small nucleolar RNA, 91 nt
Filed under: Zostera marina
Lineage: Eukaryota; Viridiplantae; Streptophyta; Magnoliopsida; Alismatales; Zosteraceae
Description: Small nucleolar RNA snoR20a
Rfam family: Small nucleolar RNA snoR20a
About the family: The O.sativum sequence was obtained from the plant snoRNA database.
Source: Rfam by way of RNAcentral